GAGAGGUAGGGGGAAUACAUUUUGUCAUAGUUUUAUUAUAAAACUUAGAGAAAAAUUAUUAAAUAUUACACUGGUCAUGCUCUAUAUUACAAGCAGCUCCCCUCUCAACCAAUAGUGUUCAGUAUCUCAGAUCCAAUGAAACUGUAAUAAAUUACACACUUUUCCUGUCUUUACAGGUGAAAAGACAAUAGAGUAUACAACAACUGUACAGGACAUAGAAAAUAACACGAACAACACAUAUAGAAAUAUGAAUGAUGCAAGGCUGAUGAAAAACACACGUAAAAUCAAAUAUUCCCCACUCCCAUGUCCUCCUACAGCCCAAUGUGACAUUUGAAAGUCUAUUUGAGAGCAUUAGUUCAACACACUUAACUAGAGAUAAUUCACACAGACAAUUCACAGGGACUGGAAACUAAUUGAGUGGUUUUAUAACACAGAGAGAGUACCAUCCCUGGUGGAAACUAGUUCAUAACCAAUAUAACAAACAAACAAAAACAUAAAAUGACCAUGCGAGUAUAGCAAGAAAGGGAGAAGGAAAAGUCAACAGUCCAUCUUGACCCUUUGUGAGCGUAGGUUGCAGGGAUGCUGUUCAGGCCUGGUGAAGGCAGGGGAGGAAGCUGUGGUAUUGGAAGGAAUGGUAGCCUCCCAUGAUAAUGACAGUGUUAGCCGUGAGUAGGCUGAGGAGGAGGAAAAACAACUCCCUGGUCACAGAGCCUCUGACCAGACCAGACAGCUCUCUCUGUAUGGGGCCAUCCCUCUCUGGGGAGCAGGGGGAGACUUAGGAUCUUUAUGAUUUACAGCAAACAACAUCGUACACUCUAGCCAUGGUCUUCCUGUUUCUCUCCCUGCUGGCUGGAAGUAGGUUGCCUUUUCUGUCUGUACAACUGGCUAUCCCAUUGCCUUCCACAUGGCCAAUAGUGCAAAAAUGGGAUUUACCAUCACGUAGCUGCGAUCUACAGUAUUUCAUAGCACUGACUGAUGCUAAAAAUGAAGGUGGGGGUCACGAGAGAGGGAGCGGGGGAGUGGAGGGAUGCUGACAUUUUCUCAAACAAACCAAACAGAGCUGGUCUGGAUGGUGAGAGCAGGGGCAGAGUAAACAGAGUGAAGUAUGCAGCAGCCCUCUUUAGAGGCCUUUGUUGGUCUGCUCUGCUCUGCUCCCCCC
Molecule: long non-coding RNA, 1159 nt
Filed under: Salmo salar (Atlantic salmon)
Lineage: Eukaryota; Metazoa; Chordata; Actinopteri; Salmoniformes; Salmonidae
Description: lncRNA (ENSSSAG00000113033.1)
Source: RNAcentral